RNAcentral lists this ribosomal RNA (449 nucleotides) under uncultured bacterium. Its description in RNAcentral is "bacterial SSU rRNA". It matches the Rfam family "Bacterial small subunit ribosomal RNA", at positions 354 to 796 of the family's 1533-position model. The record is from RNAcentral.
GUGGGGAAUAUUGGACAAUGGGCGAAAGCCUGAUCCAGCAAUACCGCGUGUGUGAAGAAGGCCUGAGGGUUGUAAAGCACUUUCAAUGGGAAGGAAUACCUACCGGUUAAUACCCGGUAGACUGACAUUACCCAUACAAGAAGCACCGGCUAACUCCGUGCCAGCAGCCGCGGUAAUACGGAGGGUGCAAGCGUUAAUCGGAAUUACUGGGCGUAAAGCGUGCGUAGGCGGUUGUUUAAGUCAGAUGUGAAAGCCCCGGGCUUAACCUGGGAACUGCAUUUGAUACUGGACGACUAGAGUUUAGUAGAGGGGAGUGGAAUUUCAGGUGUAGCGGUGAAAUGCGUAGAGAUCUGAAGGAACACCAGUGGCGAAGGCGGCUCCCUGGACUAAAACUGACGCUGAGGUACGAAAGCGUGGGUAGCAAACAGGAUUAGAUACCCGAGUAGUCC